Molecule: ribosomal RNA, 461 nt
Filed under: uncultured bacterium
Lineage: Bacteria
Description: bacterial SSU rRNA
Rfam family: Bacterial small subunit ribosomal RNA
Source: RNAcentral
CCUACGGGGGGCUGCAGUCGAGAAUCUUCGGCAAUGAGCGCAAGCUUGACCGAGCGACGCCGCGUGCGGGAUGAAGGCCUUCGGGUUGUAAACCGCUGUCGUAGGGGAGCAAGAGAUGAGGGUACUCCCUCAAAUUUGAGCGAUCCUAGGAGGAAGGACGGGCUAAGUUCGUGCCAGCAGCCGCGGUAAGACGAACCGUCCAAACGUUAUUCGGUAUCACUGGGCUUAAAGAGUUCGUAGGCGGCUCCGUAGGUGAGGUGUGAAAUCCCUCGGCUCAACCGAGGAAUUGCGCUUCAAACCGUGGAGCUAGAGGGAGACAGGGGUAAGCGGAACAGAUGGUGGAGCGGUGAAAUGCGUUGAUAUCAUCUGGAACACCGGUGGCGAAGGCGGCUUACUGGGUCUUUUCUGACGCUGAGGAGCGAAAGCUAGGGUAGCGAACGGGAUUAGAUACCCCGGUAGUC